GUUGGCCCGCCCUCUUAAGGAGCCAGGUCCCGCUAGCUCCUCCCCUCUCUCCUCUCUUCAGUCCCACUACCCAUCCUCCUGCUUUACUCUCCAGAAUCUCCCCACCCCAGGCACAGCUUGCGCCUUCCUGUGUGUCUACCGGAGGAGAGACGAAGUCGAAGAAUGUAAACUCCACAAGGACAGAGGUUUUUGUCUGCGAGCAAUUUGGCACAGACACCUAUGACACUGCCUAGUAGGUGCCAGAAAUGUAUAUUGAAUGAAUGAGAGUGCAUCACAGCUAAUAAAGGUCACACUCAAAACUUUCUGCUCCCAAAGCCCACUGCUCCAGCUUGAGAAAGUUGUGGAGGCUCCGAUUCAGGCCAGGUAAUGAGCAUGGGUGAAGCAGAACAAUAUACUGAUUAUAUCAGUGCUUCUCAAACUCCAGUGUGCAAUUGAAUGAGCUGGGGAUCUUCUUGAAAUGUAGAUUCUGAUUCAGCAGGUUUGGAAGGGGAUGCUAAGACCCUACAUUCCUAUCAAGCUUCUACACUUUGAGCAGCAAGGCCUUGGACCCAGAGAGUCUCAGUUACGCUGCACACAAGAAUCACAUGAGAAGCUUUUAAAAACAAUGAUGCCCAGGCCCCACCCCAGAAUAAUUAAAUUGGAAACAAACCAAUUUGCAAACAAACCGAUUUGAAAAAGGGCAGAAGAUUUCUUAGUCGGGAAGAGACUAAGAGACCAUUUGUCUCUUACUGGAGGAGGUUGAGGGGAGGGAUUUCUGAAGGAAUUCUUAGGCAUGGGGCUAAUCUGCUAGCCCAGGCCAUGUCCUCCCAGGACUGAGAACACACUGUGCCUUUACCCUAUCAAGCAAGCCAGAGCUCCCUGGAACUGCUCAGAUGGGCCGGCUCAUAUGCCCCUAAGCAAUUCAGACAGUUGCAAAACCUUACUAGGGCAUUGGGAGGAGGUGCUGCCAGCUGCUCCCACGCACCUGCCCCUCUGCCCAGCUAGAGAAAGGGCUAAAUGAGCCAAGAGAUUACAAACCCUGGAUCAACACGGGCUAUUCAGAAAGGAACACCACAGACCUGGGUUCCGACGCCCUCUGGUGGACACCUAGAAUUGAAGUUUAGUAACGAACAAGGACCGAGUGGUACAGGUUUUCAAGAUUUUGAGCCAGUGUCUGGCACGGUCAUGUAAGACAUGGCCCAGUGUACAUAAUCCAGAAACUGCUAGUGACUAAACAUAUUGAAGCCUGCCUCCUUUUAUGCUCUACCUACUCCUUUACGUCCCUGAAAUCCAGCUUCCCCUGGAAUUCACUGUACUAAGUUUGGAAAUGAGCUGUCAGGGCUUAUCCUUAAAUGGAGAGGAGGUAUUUUUUCACCUUUCCUCUCUCCUUUUGUUAAAUCUCCCCAUUGGUAGUGUAGACACAACACAGUCCUUUGUGGUCUGUUCCUUUCUCCUGCUGCUCCAAAAAUGACCAUCCCAGAGAAACCCCAGCAGCUGCUUUUUUGAACACCCUCUCAGCUUGGUGAGCUCAUGUCUACUAACCUCUCCCCCUACCACACACACACACACACACACACACACGCACACAUCCGAAUUAGUGAGGCCUGCGUGGACAGAGCCUCCCACAUCGGUGGCUGCCUCCAGAGUGAUGAUGUUGACUCCCAGACACUUGCAUUUGGUCACAGAAAUCUGAGGAAGGGGCAACCGAAUCCAAACUCUCAAAUCCAGCUCUGUCUCCCCUACUCCCCUAGCUCUCUCAUUUGCCCAGAAACCAGCCUCAGGUCCUUUACAGCAUCUUUAUCCAGCUCCUCUUAUAGCACUUUGUGCAGACCCCAAACACCGCAGGGCUCCACCCUCCUGCCUCGUCUCCAGACUGGCUUCCUCUCAGCCACCACCUCAGCGCAGUUAGGGAGAAUCCAGGCCCAGGACCCACCUUCACCACACCAUUUAUUCAUUUGAAUGGUAAUCAAGGCAGUGCCUGGGUGGCUCAGUCAGUUAAGCAUCUGACUCUUGAUUUUGGCUCAGGUCAUGAUCUCACGG
Long non-coding RNA from Felis catus (domestic cat), 2019 nucleotides. RefSeq lists it as uncharacterized. The transcript has 3 exons. Lineage: Eukaryota; Metazoa; Chordata; Mammalia; Carnivora; Felidae. The record is from RefSeq and is a predicted model, not a curated record.